RNAcentral lists this ribosomal RNA (445 nucleotides) under uncultured bacterium. RNAcentral describes it as "partial 16S ribosomal RNA". It matches the Rfam family "Bacterial small subunit ribosomal RNA", at positions 354 to 796 of the family's 1533-position model. The record is from RNAcentral.
GUGAGGAAUAUUGCGCAAUGGAGGCAACUCUGACGCAGCCAUGCCGCGUGCAGGAAGAAGGCGCUACGCGUUGUAAACUGCUUUUAACCGGGAAGAAACCCCAGGACGUGUCCUGGGUUGACGGUACCGGAGGAAUAAGCACCGGCUAACUUCGUGCCAGCAGCCGCGGUAAUACGAAGGGUGCAAGCGUUAUCCGGAUUCAUUGGGUUUAAAGGGUGCGUAGGCGGAGCGUUAAGUCAGUGGUGAAAUCCUGCAGCUUAACUGUAGACUUGCCAUUGAUACUGGCGCUCUUGAGUGCGCUUGAAGUGGGCGGAAUGUGCCGUGUAGCGGUGAAAUGCUUAGAUAUGGCACAGAACACCAAUUGCGAAGGCAGCUCACUAAGGCGAUACUGACGCUGAGGCACGAAAGCAUGGGGAGCAAACAGGAUUAGAUACCCGAGUAGUCC